This is a long non-coding RNA of Pseudoliparis swirei, 831 nucleotides long. RefSeq lists it as uncharacterized. The record is from RefSeq and is a predicted model, not a curated record. Lineage: Eukaryota; Metazoa; Chordata; Actinopteri; Perciformes; Liparidae. The transcript is spliced from 3 exons.
AAGUAAAUUACGAAAUCUAAUGUUCAUUGUGAAUUGUUCUUUGCGUAUUUGUGAAUCUGUGUUUGUUUUUGUGAAUCUUUAUGUUUGCAUCUGUGAAUCUCUGUGUGUCUUUGCCUUUAUUGAGCCUGAUGCGACCCCACAGUCCGUGUUCUUUAAGGUUGAGUCAACUCGAUACUUUAAAACAGUUCGUUCCAGUUUGGUUUGUUUUUGAUCUGAUGGAGAGAAUAAUGGAGGGAAAGACUCGUUGCUGCUAAUUGAGUCAAAGUGACACCUCCUCCCCACCCUGCUCACGCAAGGACACUGCAGCACCGUGGAUCGUGGGAACAGCUCGCACACAAAAUGAUGAGCUGAUAAACGAGCUGAACCUCGACUCAUGUAAUGCGUUUCAGACCACACUGCCCCCCCGUGAUCAAUACCACAAUACGAGGCGUUUCCCUCCGAGUGUCGUUGUUUGUUCUGUGUUCCAGGCAGAGAGAGACGGUUGGGGAAGACGAGCCGUACACGAGGAGCAACGGAGGAGCAGAAAGCCCAACAUGACAGAACGUGACCAGAGUUGGCCAUCAUCGAGUCAGCGACGUUACUGCCUGUCUUCAUCCCCCGGUCUGUCCUGCAGGCGGAUCACCGGAACAGGAAGUGCCGACUGAGGGACACAUGCUCCUUAUUAAAUCAUUAAAAAAAUAACUUCACAAUAUUGUGCAAUUGAUCAGAGUAAGCCAUUAUCAAUGGCGUGUUGUGCAUCUGCUUAAAAGCAUGCAAUACUAAUUACUGUUAUUUCCUGUUGUGAUGUACAAAAAUAAAUCAAAUACAACACACAUGUGUUCUUCUGAAUGG